GACGAACGCUGGCGGCGUGCUUAACACAUGCAAGUCGAACGAAGAGCGAUGGAAGCUUGCUUCUAUCAAUCUUAGUGGCGAACGGGUGAGUAACGCGUAAUCAACCUGCCCUUCAGAGGGGGACAACAGUUGGAAACGACUGCUAAUACCGCAUACGAUCUAACCUCGGCAUCGAGGAUAGAUGAAAGGUGGCCUCUACAUGUAAGCUAUCACUGAAGGAGGGGAUUGCGUCUGAUUAGCUAGUUGGAGGGGUAACGGCCCACCAAGGCGAUGAUCAGUAGCCGGUCUGAGAGGAUGAACGGCCACAUUGGGACUGAGACACGGCCCAGACUCCUACGGGAGGCAGCAGUGGGGAAUCUUCCGCAAUGGACGAAAGUCUGACGGAGCAACGCCGCGUGAGUGAUGACGGCCUUCGGGUUGUAAAGCCCUGUUAAUCGGGACGAAAGGCCUUCUUGCGAAUAGUGAGAAGGAUUGACGGUACCGGAAUAGAAAGCCACGGCUAACUACGUG
Molecule: ribosomal RNA, 510 nt
Filed under: uncultured bacterium
Lineage: Bacteria
Description: partial 16S ribosomal RNA
Rfam family: Bacterial small subunit ribosomal RNA
Source: RNAcentral